This is a long non-coding RNA of Physcomitrium patens, 1104 nucleotides long. RefSeq lists it as uncharacterized. The record is from RefSeq and is a predicted model, not a curated record. Lineage: Eukaryota; Viridiplantae; Streptophyta; Bryopsida; Funariales; Funariaceae.
UUCUCAGGUUGGCAAUAGCUCAGGAAGUUACGUGCAUGCGAGAGAUGUGCAACCCAUCUGUGUCAAUAGAGCUUCGGGUUGAUCGCAGACUAGACCUGGUCGUAAAGUAAGUUGCUGAUUUUCGCACGCAAUGGGUGAUACAGUGUGGUUAUGUUGCGAAAAGUGCGCCGAGAGUUUCCAUCUUCAUACAUGGCUACUACCAGGCCGAUACUGUAGUUCGAACAGAUUUUCACAAUUGAAACUUAAGGUGAACUGAUCGAACAACUCUUGUUCGAAGUGUAUAUAUUGAAUUCUGCUAUGCGAAAAAAGUGACCCUCUUAUGUUAAAGAAACCUUACAGGUAGGAUGAUUUUGGAGAAUCCGCUGCCAUCUUCACAAGGCCUGCCCUCUCAAACUGUUCGUCAGGAUUGUGGUGCUCCAUGCCCUGAAGCUGUACAGGCUCCCGGAGUGUUACGCCUGCUCAGACCGCAGAAGGAGAGCCUCAUGUCAAGUAAGGGGACCCCGCGGUCAACUUCUGGGACUGCUCCCAGGAAGCAUUCUUCCUGAGGGCUUCAUGUGGUCAUCCAUCAGCCGGCAGGUCCGGCGACACCUAGCAAGGUGCAAUCUACACGAAACGAUGUUAAGCAAGGUCAGCAGGUGGAGCAAUACCAAUACCGCAAAGUAAAGAAAGUAACGAUUCAAACGGGUGGCUCCAAGAAUGGAUCGAGAGUGUGAGAUUAUGGAGGACGUUGGGAUUAUUAAAAUGAAAGCGCAUUCUGGUUCUAGCUCUAAAACAAGAAAAAUUUAGUAACUAGUGUGUUACUAGUAAGAAAUAAGAACUUCUUAUUGAUAUAUAAGAUUUUACUUGUAAUUAAGUGUCAUUGUUUUCCCGAUAUUCUUGGCGUAUUCUGUGAAACCAAUAGGUUAUGGCCCACGAUUCGUCGUUCUGUAAAUUUUUUUAUUUUUAUUUUUUAUUUUUUUUAUUUAGAGUGCUAGAUCAGAGUGCUAGAUCUUGAUUAAUUCGGCGGUUUACAACCGAUUUAGUUAUUUUGUUUUGUUUUCGAGCAAUUGACUGCCUCAGAAAUAAUAUCAGAGUGAUUGACUUCUUUAAGAGCAAUUGAUCAAG